This 592-nucleotide ribosomal RNA is filed under the name uncultured bacterium. Its description in RNAcentral is "bacterial SSU rRNA". It matches the Rfam family "Bacterial small subunit ribosomal RNA", at positions 338 to 916 of the family's 1533-position model. The record is from RNAcentral.
CCUACGGGAGGCAGCAGUAGGGAAUCUUCCACAAUGGGCGAAAGCCUGAUGGAGCAACGCCGCGUGAGUGAUGAAGGCCUUCGGGUUGUAAAACUCUGUCAUUCGGGACGAACCGGAGUCUGAGGAGAUGCAGACUCUCUGACGGUACCGGAGGAGGAAGCCCCGGCUAACUACGUGCCAGCAGCCGCGGUAAUACGUAGGGGGCAAGCGUUGUCCGGAUUCACUGGGCGUAAAGCGCGCGCAGGCGGUGAUGUAAGUCUGAGGUGAAAACCCGAAGCUCAACUUCGGGACUGCCUUGGAUACUGCGUCACUUGAGGAUAGGAGAGGCAAGGGGAAUUCCACGUGUAGCGGUGAAAUGCGUAGAGAUGUGGAGGAACACCUGUGGCGAAGGCGCCUUGCUGGCCUAUUUCUGACGCUGAGGCGCGAAAGCGUGGGGAGCAAACAGGAUUAGAUACCCUGGUAGUCCACGCUGUAAACGAUGAGUGCUAGGUGUAGGUGGGCUCAUACCCAUCUGUGCCGAAAGCUAAACGCAUUAAGCACUUCCGCCUGGGGAGUUACGGUCGCAAGACUGAAACUUCAAAGGAAUUGACGG